GGAGGAGAAAUGAGGUAUAAACU
RNAcentral lists this non-coding RNA (23 nucleotides) under Arabidopsis thaliana (thale cress). Lineage: Eukaryota; Viridiplantae; Streptophyta; Magnoliopsida; Brassicales; Brassicaceae. The record is from RNAcentral.